This 74-nucleotide transfer RNA is filed under the name Actinomycetota bacterium. RNAcentral describes it as "tRNA-Gly". It matches the Rfam family "tRNA". From Rfam's summary of the family: Transfer RNA (tRNA) molecules are approximately 80 nucleotides in length. Their secondary structure includes four short double-helical elements and three loops (D, anti-codon, and T loops). Lineage: Bacteria; Bacillati; Actinomycetota. The record is from RNAcentral.
GCGGGUGUGGUGUAAAUGGCUGGCACGGGAGCCUUCCAAGCUCCAGGAGACCGGUUCGAUCCCGGCCACCCGCU